This 210-nucleotide unclassified non-coding RNA is filed under the name fungal sp. RNAcentral's name for it is "partial internal transcribed spacer region". The stretch from base 1 to 46 matches the Rfam family "Eukaryotic small subunit ribosomal RNA", at positions 1786 to 1831 of the family's 1831-position model. Lineage: Eukaryota; Fungi. The record is from RNAcentral.
AAGUCGUAACAAGGUUUCCGUAGGUGAACCUGCGGAAGGAUCAUUCUUGAUUAUGCUAGCUAAUGCUAUCAUAAAAAUUGUGAACUGUUACCGUCUACUUGACGACCGAAAGGCUGUCAUAUGGACUAUUUAUUUUAAUAUACUAAUAACUUUUUAUACCAGCAAUAAUGCUAUAUUACACAACUUUUAGCAAUGGAUCUCUAGGCUCUC